CCAAUAGCGUAUAUUAAAGUUGUUGCAGUUAAAAAGCUCGUAGUUGAAUUUCGGGGUUAGUAGGUUGGUCAUGCCUCUGGUAUGUACUGGUCUCACUGAUUCCUCCUUCCUUAUGAACCGUAAUGCCAUUAAUUUGGUGUUGCGGGGAAUUUGGACUGUUACUUUGAAAAAAUUAGAGUGUUUAAAGCAAGCUAACGCUUGAAUACAUUAGCAUGGAAUAAUGAAAUAGGACGUUCGAUCUUAUUUUGUUGGUUUCUAGGGUUGACGUAAUGAUUAAUAGGGAUAGUUGGGGGCAUUAGUAUUCAAUUGUCAGAGGUGAAAUUCUUGGAUUUAUUGAAGACUAACUACUGCGAAAGCAUUUGCCAAGGAUGUUUUCAUUAAUCAAGAACGAAAGUUAGGGGAUCGAAGACGAUCAGAUACCGUCGUAGUCUUAACCAUAAACUAUGCCGACUAGGGAUCGGAUGAUGUUAAUUUUUUAAUGACUCAUUCGGCGCCUUACG
RNAcentral lists this ribosomal RNA (500 nucleotides) under uncultured Glomeromycotina. Its description in RNAcentral is "partial small subunit ribosomal RNA". It matches the Rfam family "Eukaryotic small subunit ribosomal RNA", at positions 591 to 1092 of the family's 1831-position model. Lineage: Eukaryota; Fungi; Glomeromycota. The record is from RNAcentral.